RNAcentral lists this ribosomal RNA (515 nucleotides) under uncultured bacterium. RNAcentral describes it as "partial 16S ribosomal RNA". It matches the Rfam family "Bacterial small subunit ribosomal RNA", at positions 28 to 523 of the family's 1533-position model. The record is from RNAcentral.
GAUGAACGCUGGCGGCGUGCCUAAUACAUGCAAGUCGAGCGAAUGGAUUAAGAGCUUGCUCUUAUGAAGUUAGCGGCGGACGGGUGAGUAACACGUGGGUAACCUGCCCAUAAGACUGGGAUAACUCCGGGAAACCGGGGCUAAUACCGGAUAACAUUUUGAACCGCAUGGUUCGAAAUUGAAAGGCGGCUUCGGCUGUCACUUAUGGAUGGACUCGCGUCGCAUUCGCUAGUUGGUGAGGUAACGGCUCACCAAGGCAAAGAUGCGUAGCCGACCUGAGAGGGUGAUCGGCCACACUGGGACUGAGACACGGCCCAGACUCCUACGGGAGGCAGCAGUAGGGAAUCUUCCGCAAUGGACGAAAGUCUGACGGAGCAACGCCGCGUGAGUGAUGAAGGCUUUCGGGUCGUAAAACUCUGUUGUUAGGGAAGAACAAGUGCUAGUUGAAUAAGCUGGCACCUUGACGGUACCUAACCAGAAAGCCACGGCUAACUACGUGCCAGCCGCCGCCGUAA